AGAGAACAACCAUUCCACUCCAAGUAUUCAAGCAUUCAAUCUCUGCAACCUGUUCUUCAACGAAAAAAGAGGGAAGAGCUGCAUUAACUGCAUCCACCUACAUCUUCCCAGCAAUUAAAGAAUCCUCCUCCUGCAUUCAAGUCGACUACACAUUCAAGAGGAGACCCGAAGUUUAAGAAGCCAUUCCUCUUCUCCAACUUAAAAGCGUUUGAGGGCUUCUAAACUCUUUUCAGAUUAUAUUG
This 242-nucleotide long non-coding RNA is filed under the name Phoenix dactylifera (date palm). RNAcentral's name for it is "long non-coding RNA (PDAC_LNC002224)". The record is from RNAcentral. Lineage: Eukaryota; Viridiplantae; Streptophyta; Magnoliopsida; Arecales; Arecaceae.